CACAAACGCUUACUUUUCAAAUUAAAACACUACGGCAUCUCAGAUCAGGCAAUAAACUGGAUUCAAUCAUUUUUAUCUAACAGAACUCAAACAGUCCUUCUCGAAACACAACAUCUGAAAAAAAUUCCAGUAACAUCAGGCGUUCCUCAGGGCACUGUACUAGGACCAAUACUCUUUCUUAUUUACAUUAAUGACUUACCUGACUACCUUAAACACAG
RNAcentral lists this long non-coding RNA (218 nucleotides) under Mytilus galloprovincialis (Mediterranean mussel). Lineage: Eukaryota; Metazoa; Mollusca; Bivalvia; Mytilida; Mytilidae. The record is from RNAcentral.